GGGCGGACGGUUUGUGGCAAUGUGAGGCGGAAAACAAUUAAUGCCAAACGGCAAGGCGAUCUUGGAUGGGCUGCUGCUGUCUAGCAGGCAACAUUUUGCCGCCGAUUUGGUUGAGUUGUAGGGAAUAUUUAAAGUAACGGCGCAAUGUUGGAUUCGGUGGUGAAUCUGAGCCUCCUUUUUUCUUCCCCUUCUCCACUUUUCUAAUAUCUGUUCUUAUUCUUUCCCAAGAUUUUAUUUUUCAACGCUUUUUUAACUUCUUUCCUAUAAUCCGAUUUUAAUGAUGAGUUGUUCCCGUGGCUCCUCCAAAAUUCAUAGGUUUUGGAGGCUGGUGAAUGAUCGGGGAUAGGGAUUGCGUCAAUAGUAGCUAGGGUUUUGAGAGAACCCAAUUCCUCAAUUUAUUUUAAAAAAAUGUUGUUAAAAAUCUCGGAAAAUUUGCCUGUUCCACAGUGCUCUCAAUAUUGAGUCAUUUUCCCCCAUCUUUUUUCAUUUAAUUUGUUUUUACGCAUGUAGCAAGGGUUUUGAUCUUGCAUUGGCUUCCUUUUUUCCUCAAUUACUUUGUAGUCUUUUCCAUCUUCUUUACAAAGUGAAAAUUUUAUCAACUUCAUUCCAUGAUCUGGUUUUUCUAGCAUUGCUCUUCUAACAUGGCCUGCUUAGGGGCUGUUUGGGCUUUGUGGCAUCUUCAUGCUGCAUUAUUUUUUUAAGCCUAUAUGAAGGUGUUGCAAAAACCUCAAGAAAUUUCUAUGGAGGCUGUGUUAGGUUAGGUUACCGACUUCAACUUUUCCUUCAUGAUGUCCUCAAUCUCAUUAAAAAUCAGGACAACCAUUCAGUUAUUUAUGCUGCUUCUUUAUCUGCUUUUUUUCCCCCUCUCUUCUUAACCUUCCUUCUGAACAAUGCAGAUGUAGUGGUAAUUUGCUUUGCUCUCUUGGUUCUGUGCUUACAAAACACCUUUUAUGUAACUUGCUUUGCUCAAACCAAACACAAUGUUCUUGGAGAUGGUAGAUGAAUUCGUAAGGGUAAUUCUUGUUCAUCAGUUUAGCAUUGGUCUUUGUUAAAACAAACUCCCAUCUCUCCUCCUCUCCUCUGCUUGUCUUCUCUCUUCUAGAACGAUGGGCGAGGCAGCUC
RNAcentral lists this long non-coding RNA (1122 nucleotides) under Phoenix dactylifera (date palm). RNAcentral's name for it is "long non-coding RNA (PDAC_LNC013170)". Lineage: Eukaryota; Viridiplantae; Streptophyta; Magnoliopsida; Arecales; Arecaceae. The record is from RNAcentral.